This 401-nucleotide ribosomal RNA is filed under the name uncultured soil bacterium. Its description in RNAcentral is "bacterial SSU rRNA". It matches the Rfam family "Bacterial small subunit ribosomal RNA", at positions 26 to 456 of the family's 1533-position model. The record is from RNAcentral.
AGAGCGAACGCUGGCGGCAGGCUUAACACAUGCAAGUCGAGCGCCGUAGCAAUACGGAGCGGCAGACGGGUGAGUAACACGUGGGAACGUACCUCUUGGUUCGGAACAACACAGGGAAACUUGUGCUAAUACCGGAUAAGCCCUUACGGGGAAUGAUUUAUCGCCGAGAGAUCGGCCCGCGUCUGAUUAGCUAGUUGGUGAGGUAACGGCUCACCAAGGCGACGAUCAGUAGUUGGUCUGAGAGGACGACCAGCCACACUGGGACUGAGACACGGCCCAGACUCCUACGGGAGGCAGCAGUGGGGAAUUUUGGGACAAUGGGCGCAAGCCUGAUCCAGCAAUGCCGCGUGAGUGAAGAAGGCCUUCGGGUUGUAAGCUCUUCAGUUGAGAAGAAAAGGCCG